This 395-nucleotide ribosomal RNA is filed under the name uncultured bacterium. RNAcentral describes it as "partial 16S ribosomal RNA". It matches the Rfam family "Bacterial small subunit ribosomal RNA", at positions 338 to 730 of the family's 1533-position model. The record is from RNAcentral.
CCUACGGGAGGCUGCAGUGAGGAAUAUUGGUCAAUGGACGCAAGUCUGAACCAGCCAUGCCGCGUGCAGGAAGACGGCUCUAUGAGUUGUAAACUGCUUUUGUACGAGGGUAAACGCAGAUACGCGUAUCUGUCUGAAAGUAUCUUACGAAUAAGGAUCGGCUAACUCCGUGCCAGCAGCCGCGGUAAUACGGAGGCUUCAAGCGUUAUCCGGAUUUAUUGGGUUUAAAGGGUGCGUAGGCGGUCGGAUAAGCUAGAGGUGAAAUCCCGGGGCUUAACUUCGUACUUGCCUCUGAUACUGUUCGGCUAGAGAGUAGUUGAGGUAUGCGGAAUGUAUGGUGUAGCGGUGAAAUGCUUAGAUAUCAUGCAGAACACCGAUUGCGAAGGCAGCUUACC